AGCGAACGCUGGCGGCAGGCCUAACACAUGCAAGUCGAACGAACCUUUCGGGGUUAGUGGCGGACGGGUGAGUAACACGUGGGAACGUGCCUUUAGGUUCGGAAUAACUCAGGGAAACUUGUGCUAAUACCGAAUGUGCCCUUCGGGGGAAAGAUUAAUCGCCUUUAGAGCGGCCCGCGUCUGAUUAGCUAGUUGGUUGAGGUAAUGGCUCACCAAGGCGACGAUCAGUAGCUGGUCUGAGAGGAUGAUAAGCCACAUUGGGACUGAGACACGGCCCAAACUCCUACGGGAGGCAGCAGUGGGGAAUCUUGCGCAAUGGGCGAAAGCCUGACGCAGCCAUGCCGCGUGAAUGAUGAAGGUCUUAGGAUUGUAAAAUUCUUUCAGCGGGGACGAUAAUGACGGUACCCGGAGAAGAAGCCCCGGCUAACUUCGUG
This 434-nucleotide ribosomal RNA is filed under the name uncultured bacterium. RNAcentral describes it as "partial 16S ribosomal RNA". It matches the Rfam family "Bacterial small subunit ribosomal RNA", at positions 29 to 507 of the family's 1533-position model. The record is from RNAcentral.